GAUGAACGCUGGCGGCGUGCCUAAUACAUGCAAGUCGAGCGAACAGACGAGGAGCUUGCUCCUUCGACGUUAGCGGCGGACGGGUGAGUAACACGUAGGUAACCUACCUAUAAGACUGGGAUAACUUCGGGAAACCGGAGCUAAUACCGGAUAAUAUUUCGAACCGCAUGGUUCGAUAGUGAAAGAUGGCUUUGCUAUCACUUAUAGAUGGACCUGCGCCGUAUUAGCUAGUUGGUAAGGUAACGGCUUACCAAGGCAACGAUACGUAGCCGACCUGAGAGGGUGAUGCGCCACACUGGAACUGAGACACGGUCCUGACUCCUACGGGAGGCAGCAGUAGGGAAUCUUCCGCGAUGGGCGAAAGCCUGACGGAGCAACGCCGCGUGAGUGCUGAAGGGCUUCGGAUCGUAAAACUCUGUUAUUAGGGAAGACCAAACGUGUAAGUAACUGUGCACGUCUUGACGGUACCUAAUCAGAAAGCAACGGCUAACUACGUG
This 497-nucleotide ribosomal RNA is filed under the name uncultured bacterium. RNAcentral's name for it is "partial 16S ribosomal RNA". It matches the Rfam family "Bacterial small subunit ribosomal RNA", at positions 28 to 507 of the family's 1533-position model. The record is from RNAcentral.